Molecule: ribosomal RNA, 448 nt
Filed under: uncultured bacterium
Lineage: Bacteria
Description: partial 16S ribosomal RNA
Rfam family: Bacterial small subunit ribosomal RNA
Source: RNAcentral
AACGAACGCUGGCGGCAGGCUUAACACAUGCAAGUCGAACGCCCCGCAAGGGGAGUGGCAGACGGGUGAGUAACGCGUGGGAAUCUACCCAUCCCUACGGAACAACUCCGGGAAACUGGAGCUAAUACCGUAUACGCCCUACGGGGGAAAGAUUUAUCGGGGAUGGAUGAGCCCGGCGUUGGAUUAGCUAGUUGGUGGGGUAAAGGCCUACCAAGGCGACGAUCCAUAGCUGGUCUGAGAGGAUGAUCAGCCACAUUGGGACUGAGACACGGCCAAAACCCCGGCGGGAGGCAGCAGGGGGGAAUAUUGGACAAGGGGCGAAAGUCUGAUCAAGCCUUGCGGCGGAGGUGAUGAAGGUUUUAGGAUUGUAAAGCUCUUUCACCGGAAAAGAUAAUGACGGUAUCCGGAGAAGAAGCCCCGGCUAACUUCGUGCCAGCCGCCGCGGUAA